Molecule: ribosomal RNA, 468 nt
Filed under: uncultured bacterium
Lineage: Bacteria
Description: partial 16S ribosomal RNA
Rfam family: Bacterial small subunit ribosomal RNA
Source: RNAcentral
GACGAACGCUGGCGGCGUGCUUAACACAUGCAAGUCGAACGGAAAGGCCCUGCUUUUGUGGGGUGCUCGAGUGGCGAACGGGUGAGUAACACGUGAGUAACCUGCCCUUGACUUUGGGAUAACUUCAGGAAACUGGGGCUAAUACCGGAUAGGAGCUCCUGCUGCAUGGUGGGGGUUGGAAAGUUUCGGCGGUUGGGGAUGGACUCGCGGCUUAUCAGCUUGUUGGUGGGGUAGUGGCUUACCAAGGCUUUGACGGGUAGCCGGCCUGAGAGGGUGACCGGCCACAUUGGGACUGAGAUACGGCCCAGACUCCUACGGGAGGCAGAUGUGGGGAAUAUUGCACAAUGGGCGGAAGCCUGAUGCAGCAACGCCGCGUGCGGGAUGACGGCCUUCGGGUUGUAAACCGCUUUCGCCUGUGACGAAGCGUGAGUGACGGUAAUGGGUAAAGAAGCACCGGCUAACUACGUG